This 1926-nucleotide long non-coding RNA is filed under the name Theobroma cacao (cacao). RNAcentral describes it as "long non-coding RNA (TCAC_LNC005895)". Lineage: Eukaryota; Viridiplantae; Streptophyta; Magnoliopsida; Malvales; Malvaceae. The record is from RNAcentral.
AAAUAAUAUUUUUAGAGUUAUACGUAAAUAAUUUUUACGGCGUAAAAGCAAAAUAAAUUCAUACAUACUGUAAUACAAUAAGCCAGAGUAUUUAAUUUAAUUUACAAUAACCAGUGGGCUCCCGAAUAACUAAAAGUAAGAAAGACUGUGAACCUACAGUUUGGAGGACGCAAAUCCAACUGUAGCCCUCAACGAAAUGAGCUAUCUACUGACUAUCCUGAGCCUAAAAUGGGUGGAAAAGAGGGUGCUCAGAUUAUAUAAUCCCAGUGAGUAAACAAAUACCAUCUAAAAUAUCUAAAGCUGAGUAAAUGGAGACAGAUAAAAUAGUUUAACAUACUGUAAUUCAUCACCUUUCAACUCAUUUCAACCAAAUAAAAUCAAUUCAUAUAAAUCGAGUAAUCAACAUGGCUUAUGAAUUUCUUAAAACUUUGGCUCCUGCCAAAAUCAUUCUCAUACUCAGUUAUUAGGGAUACUUUGAUCUAGGGCUAUCCCAACCAAGUCCGCCAAGGUUGUUAAAAAGUUAUGUACGCAUAAAUCAUGUUUUUAUUUUGAAAACAUAACCGCUCCUUGGCGUUGGCUGAGUUCACCAUCACGUGGUGGUUUGACGUGAAGUGAACUCUAAAGUGUUAACCUUAGAAGUUAUCCAUCCGCGCCUCUCAUACUGAGGUAUGAAUAUAAUAGGGUUACCGUGCCCCUCUAAUAGGCUGGUCCACGAAACCCAUCCACUGCAGCGAUAAAUUUAUAACCCACCAAUUUAAUAAAAUUUGCGAUAGCAUGACAUGGCAAUUAUUUUAUUUUAUAGCCUCUCAAGGCAAAUUAGUAGUUCAUACAUUAUCAACACAUUUACCAAAUCAACCAUUCAUGUCAAUAUUAUCAUAAGCCUUUCAAUUCAAACCAUGAUUUAUAACACAACAAUUUAGUCUCCAAUUACUCUAUUUUCAAAACCAUCUUUUAAUUUCAAGACAAUUUUAUAAGAUCAUUUUCAUUUAAUCACAUUUUGCUUAUAAAACAUAAAGAUUUGCCAUUUAAACUCAUUUUCCAUAAAAUCACAAAAUCGGAUAAAAACCACUUUAGAUAAUUAAGACGAUAGUAAGGUUACUCACUGUAUCAGAAGUUUGAAAUACUCUUAUUCUCAGUCCUUUGAUACAACAUCUUUACCCUUGUUAGAGGGCUCAACACCUAUAUACAAUACACGACACAUAAUUCAAUAUACUGUGUCAUACCAUUAUAAAUCUAUUUCAGGCUCUUUACUAAUGCAUGAAAUGGAAUGCAAAUUGUUUGAAUUAUCAACUAAGCACGAUGUUAUACACAAAUUCAAUUGUGUACCUAAAUUAAACGGUAUUGACCUAAUUCGAUCUAUCACUCGAUUAAUUGGCCAAUAUGUCCAAUUUAACUCCAAGUAAUUCCAUAUUCUCCCAAUACUCAAAAUCAUCAAACACAAAUUAAAUAACUUGAAAUAUGGCAAAAAUCAUCCACACAUUUUCUCUUGGGAAUUUCGGCCAUAGUGGGUGCAUCAAUACUAUGAUUUUUCCUACUUGAUUUUCUCACCGUAAUUCAUCAUUUCCUAACCAAUUCACUUGAAAUAAAAUCAAUAUCAUCAUCCACACUCUACAUGGAAAAUUCGGCCAAUGAUGGGUGAUGGGAGAAAAUGAAUUUUUCUUGCUUGAUUUUCAUGCUACACAUCACUAACUAACCAAAACCACUAAAAUACAUUGAAAUUUAACUAAAUCAAGCAUCAAAAUCUCUCUCUAAGUGUUCGGCCAGCAAGGGAUUCAUCAUGCUUUCAUGUGAUUCAACCAUGGAAAAUAAGAAAAAAAUGCUUAAGAAAGAUAGAUCUCAAACUUAAUCGAAAAAAUCUUACUUUUUUUCACUUGUUUCCUUGAAUUUUCACACUUUUCCCUUGAAUUUCUCCACCUAGGGUUUGUU